GGGCCGUUAGCUCAGUGGCAGAGCACUUCAUUUGCAAUGAAGGGGUCGCCGGUUCAAAUCCGGCACGGUCCA
RNAcentral lists this transfer RNA (72 nucleotides) under Candidatus Liptonbacteria bacterium. RNAcentral describes it as "tRNA-Ala". It matches the Rfam family "tRNA". From Rfam's summary of the family: Transfer RNA (tRNA) molecules are approximately 80 nucleotides in length. The record is from RNAcentral. Lineage: Bacteria; Candidatus Liptoniibacteriota.